Molecule: small nuclear RNA, 107 nt
Filed under: Myotis brandtii (Brandt's bat)
Lineage: Eukaryota; Metazoa; Chordata; Mammalia; Chiroptera; Vespertilionidae
Source: RNAcentral
AUGCUCGCUUUGGCAGCACAUAUACUAAAAUUGGAAUGAUACAGAGAAGAUUUGCAUGGCCCCUGCGCAAGGAUGACACACAAAUUUGUGAAGCGUUCCAUAUUUAA